GAUGAACGCUGGCGGCGUGCUUAACACAUACAAGUCGAACGAAGCACUUUAUUUGAUUUCCUUCGGGACUGAUUAUUUUGUGACUGAGUGGCGGACGGGUGAGUAACGCGUGGGUAACCUGCCUUGUACAGGGGGAUAACAGUUGGAAACGGCUGCUAAUACCGCAUAAGCGCACAGCAUCGCAUGAUGCAGUGUGAAAAACUCCGGUGGUAUAAGAUGGACCCGCGUUGGAUUAGCUAGUUGGUGAGGUAACGGCCCACCAAGGCGACGAUCCAUAGCCGACCUGAGAGGGUGACCGGCCACAUUGGGACUGAGACACGGCCCAAACUCCUACGGGAGGCAGCAGUGGGGAAUAUUGCACAAUGGGCGAAAGCCUGAUGCAGCGACGCCGCGUGAGCGAAGAAGUAUUUCGGUAUGUAAAGCUCUAUCAGCAGGGAAGAUAAUGACGGUACCUGACGAAGAAGCACCGGCUAAAUACGUG
Molecule: ribosomal RNA, 481 nt
Filed under: uncultured bacterium
Lineage: Bacteria
Description: partial 16S ribosomal RNA
Rfam family: Bacterial small subunit ribosomal RNA
Source: RNAcentral